CAGAGACAGGAUUCCAGUCAGGAACCAGAACUGAAGAGCAACACUCAACCCAUGUCCCCCUAGCCGGCUUCGGCCAGCUGUAGGUGUGGUGAACCUCAACAAGAGGCCCAGGGCUGUAAGGGGAAAAAACGUGUGCCCUAUUUGAGAUUUAAAUUUGCAGAGACUACAAUUGCAUUUGUAAAGACCCUGGGGAUAUUUUACAGACCCCUCAUUUCCUGGACAGUGCCCAGAAUGUCAAUUUCAGGGCAGGAGAGUGCACUGUGUAUUCCACUUUUUGUAUUCCUUUAUUUAUGCAAGUUGUCUCAUUGAGAUAAAAUCUCUUGUUACUGCACUUUAAAACAUUUUAAGAGUU
Esox lucius (northern pike) is the source of this 352-nucleotide long non-coding RNA. RefSeq lists it as uncharacterized. NCBI's taxonomy places the organism in Eukaryota, Metazoa, Chordata, Actinopteri, Esociformes, Esocidae. The transcript is spliced from 2 exons. The record is from RefSeq and is a predicted model, not a curated record.